GAGGUGUAAAGGUGUUUGGUGUUCAACAGGGGUUCAGCUUAAUUAUUAUUGAGUGAGUGCUCAGAGAAGGUGAAAAGCCUGUGAAGUUGUGCUAGCCUGUUGGACUAUGACACUUAAGAGUCUAGUUGUUUGAGAGUACAACUUAAAGCUGGUGGUAAAUUUCAUCAAAGGCUAAAUAUAUGAGGGGACUAAUAGCGAACAAGUACCAUGAGGGAAAGUUGAAAAGAACUCUGACGAGAGAGUUCAAUAGUACGUGAAACCAUAUUGAGUAAAACAGAUAACUGUGCUGUUAUGUGGUGUGCCUAUCAACAGUUUACUUGGUGUUGUGAUGCCUUGAGUGUAGGUUGACUAUUCAGCUGAUUGCUUGAGGUUAACAUAGCCAGAUAUUCUGUGCAUUAGUGCGCCCCCGGACAUUGAAAAACUAUGCUACUGCGGCAUCGGAGUGCAACAGUCCGUACUUAGUGCGCAGUUGUACACUGGGUGCACCUGGUUGGCGUAGUUUAGCUGUGAGACAGCUGUAGGUUGCG
Molecule: ribosomal RNA, 527 nt
Filed under: Laelaps agilis
Lineage: Eukaryota; Metazoa; Arthropoda; Arachnida; Mesostigmata; Laelapidae
Description: partial large subunit ribosomal RNA
Rfam family: Eukaryotic large subunit ribosomal RNA
Source: RNAcentral